AACUCACCUGCAGUGCGUCAUCACGAAAGCGCCGUGCUUGCAGUAAACUUUGAGUGGGAACGGAAGCGUCCCUCC
This is a small nuclear RNA of Trypanosoma brucei brucei TREU927, 75 nucleotides long. Lineage: Eukaryota; Euglenozoa; Kinetoplastea; Trypanosomatida; Trypanosomatidae. The record is from RefSeq and is a predicted model, not a curated record.